RNAcentral lists this unclassified non-coding RNA (898 nucleotides) under Hevea brasiliensis (rubber tree). The record is from RNAcentral. Lineage: Eukaryota; Viridiplantae; Streptophyta; Magnoliopsida; Malpighiales; Euphorbiaceae.
UCGAAUUCUAAAAUGUCUGCAUUACAGUCGAAUGGAUUGGGGUUUGAUCCGAAUAUGGGUUCUCCCUGUGUUAGUAGAGUGCAGAGCUUGAACUACCUGGCGAGCUUGAUUGGUGAGGAUCAACAGAUCAGGGCACAAAGUACGGGUCUUGUGUUGGAUUCGGAUGAUUUUAGUUCUUCUGCUAAUGUAUCAAGUUCAAUAUUUAAUAUGUCGAAUCCAGAUUUUGAUAUGUCCAAAUCUACUCUGAAUGGAUUGAAUAGAACUUUGAGUGCAGAUGCCAUAACAAGUUUGAAUGAUCGUGGUCUGCAGAUCAAGACUGGAGGUAUUGGGCUUGUUUUCGAGUCAAAUGCAUUGAGUUCUUCAGCAAAUUUUACAAGUUCAUGUUUGAGUGUGUGGAAUCCGGAUUUCCAUUUGUCCAAAUCCAAUCAGAAUGGAUUGAGUAGAACUUCGAGCCUGGAUGUUAUAUCAAACUUGAAUGAUCAGGGUAAGAAUGUGGGAAUUGAUCUUAAUUUAACUGGUGUAAGUUCUUCAGCUGCCACCAGUUCAAGUGUGUGGAAUUUGGAUAGUAAUAGGUCCAGAUCCAAUCAGACUGGAUUGAACAGGGCACUGAGUCUGGAUGCUUUAACAAACUUGAAUGAUCAGGCUCAGCAGAUCAAGACUGAAAAUAGUGGGCUUGUUCCCAAUUCAAAUGGUUCUAGUUCUUUUGCAAAUGCAUCAAGUUCAACUUUUGGGGGAUGGAAUUUUGAUUUUGGAGGAUUUGGAUCUGCUGUUGAAAUGUCAAAUUCUAGUUCCAAUGUUGGUGGAUUUAAUUCAAACAUCAAUGCUGUUGGCUCAAGUGCAGAUGUGGAUGAUCAUCACAACGACAAUGAUGAAGAUGAGGAUGGAUGGGAGUUCAAGG